This 148-nucleotide non-coding RNA is filed under the name Gorilla gorilla gorilla (western lowland gorilla). The record is from Rfam by way of RNAcentral. Lineage: Eukaryota; Metazoa; Chordata; Mammalia; Primates; Hominidae.
GCUGGGCGUGGUGGCGCAUGCCUGUAAUCUCAGCUACUUGGGAGGCUGAGGCAGGAGAAUCGCUUGAACCCGGGAGGUGGAGGUUGCAGUGGGCUGAGAUUGUGCCACUGCACUCCAGCCUGGGUGAGACAGCAAGAUUUUGUCUCAA